UACGGAGGGUGCGAGCGUUAAUCGGAAUUACUGGGCGUAAAGCGUACGCAGGCGGUCAUUUAAGUCAGAUGUGAAAGCCCCGGGCUCAACCUGGGAACUGCAUUUGAAACUGAAUGACUAGAGUGCGGCAGAGGGUGGUAGAAUUUCAGGUGUAGCGGUGAAAUGCGUAGAGAUCUGAAGGAAUACCGAUGGCGAAGGCAGCCACCUGGGCCGACACUGACGCUCAUGUACGAAAGCGUGGGGAGCGAACGGG
Molecule: ribosomal RNA, 253 nt
Filed under: uncultured bacterium
Lineage: Bacteria
Description: partial 16S ribosomal RNA
Rfam family: Bacterial small subunit ribosomal RNA
Source: RNAcentral